CUGUAACAUGUAUCAACCCUUCCUCCCCUCUGCUGAUAAAUACAAAAUAUCCACAGACAGACCCUCACACCUGGCAGCCAAGCCCAGAACUUCCUGCUGAGGCAGAGGAUGCAGAAACGUUGUCUUGUUGGAGAGUUGGACCUGCUGUGCUGUACUCAGCCUGGGAUUAACUGAGCUUGACCAGGGAGCCGGAGGAGGAGUCUCUCUGAUGAUGGAGGGAUCUGUCACACCGUGACUCAGUG
This is a non-coding RNA of Pelobates cultripes (western spadefoot toad), 242 nucleotides long. NCBI's taxonomy places the organism in Eukaryota, Metazoa, Chordata, Amphibia, Anura, Pelobatidae. The record is from the annotation of a GenBank genome assembly.